RNAcentral lists this small RNA (28 nucleotides) under Bombyx mori (domestic silkworm). Its description in RNAcentral is "piRNA piR-bmo-1763184". Lineage: Eukaryota; Metazoa; Arthropoda; Insecta; Lepidoptera; Bombycidae. The record is from RNAcentral.
UGUGAGUUGUGUGCUAGGUGGAGAACGU